GGGAAGAGUUUGAUCCUGGCUCAGGAUGAACGCUGGCGGCGUGCCUAAUACAUGCAAGUCGAACGAGGUGCUUUUGUAGCAAUACGAGAGUAUCCUAGUGGCGAACGGGUGAGUAACGCGUUGGUGACCUGCCCCAAAGUGUGGGAUAACAGUCCGAAAGGAUUGCUAAUACCGCAUGUGGUCCCCGGGUUUAGAAACCGGUGACUAAAGCAGUAAUGCGCUUUGGGAGGGACCUGCGUCCCAUCAGCUAGUUGGUGAGGUAACGGCCCACCAAGGCUACGACGGGUAGGGGACCUGAGAGGGUGGCCCCCCACAAUGGAACUGAAACACGGUCCAUACACCUACGGGUGGCAGCAGUAGGGAAUAUUGCACAAUGGGCGAAAGCCUGAUGCAGCAACGCCGCGUGCGCGAAGAAGGUCUUCGGAUCGUAAAGCGCUUUUCUGGGAGAUGAGAAAGGACAGUAUCCCAGGAAUAAGUCUCGGCUAACUACGUGCCAGCAGCCGCGGUAA
This 509-nucleotide ribosomal RNA is filed under the name uncultured bacterium. Its description in RNAcentral is "bacterial SSU rRNA". It matches the Rfam family "Bacterial small subunit ribosomal RNA", at positions 1 to 523 of the family's 1533-position model. The record is from RNAcentral.